GCCAGCAUGGUGUAGUGGUUUGGAUGCUGGACUAAGAUUCUUGAGAACAGGGUUUGAAUCCCUGCUCAGCCA
Molecule: non-coding RNA, 72 nt
Organism: Phrynosoma platyrhinos (Desert horned lizard)
Lineage: Eukaryota; Metazoa; Chordata; Lepidosauria; Squamata; Phrynosomatidae
Source: the annotation of a GenBank genome assembly